Molecule: ribosomal RNA, 425 nt
Filed under: uncultured bacterium
Lineage: Bacteria
Description: bacterial SSU rRNA
Rfam family: Bacterial small subunit ribosomal RNA
Source: RNAcentral
GUGAGGAAUAUUGGUCAAUGGGCGCGAGCCUGAACCAGCCAAGUCGCGUGAGGGAGGACGGCCCUACGGGUUGUAAACCUCUUUUGCCGGGGAGCAACGGGCGUCACGUGUGGCGCCACUGAGAGUACCCGGAGAAAAAGCAUCGGCUAACUCCGUGCCAGCAGCCGCGGUAAUACGGAGGAUGCGAGCGUUAUCCGGAUUUAUUGGGUUUAAAGGGUGCGCAGGCGGCACGGCAAGCCGGCGGUCAAAUCGCGGGGCUCAACCCCGCCCAGCCGUCGGAACUGCCGGGCUAGAGUGGGCGAGAAGUGCGCGGAAUGCGUGGUGUAGCGGUGAAAUGCAUAGAUAUCACGCAGAACUCCGAUUGCGAAGGCAGCGCACCGGCGCCCUACUGACGCUCAGGCACGAAAGCGUGGGUAUCGAACAGG